RNAcentral lists this long non-coding RNA (330 nucleotides) under Olea europaea subsp. europaea. Lineage: Eukaryota; Viridiplantae; Streptophyta; Magnoliopsida; Lamiales; Oleaceae. The record is from RNAcentral.
UCCAUUUUUCUUUUCAUUUUCUUUUAUUUAUUUUUCCGCUCAUUUUCUUUUCGUCAUUUUUCUCUUUCAUUUUCUUGGUAAUUUGGAGAAAAAGUUAGAGCAAACAAAGGGUAUAACUUCAAAGAAAUUUGAGAAAACUUGGGGAACUCAAAAUCAACCAUCAGUUGCUUCAUAAAUCCAGCAAAAGGGGUUUUUCUUAAAUCUUGUUGUCUCUCCAUUAUUUUCCAUCAUUUGUGAUAUAUUUGAUAAAUAUUCUUCUUUCAUAUCAUAUAUUUAACAUGGGCUAAAUUUUGUUGCUGGGAUUUAUGGUUGAAACUUAUCGUAGCUUGG